GAUGAACGCUGGCGGCGUGCCUAAUACAUGCAAGUCGAGCGAACAGACGAGGAGCUUGCUCCUCUGACGUUAGCGGCGGACGGGUGAGUAACACGUGGAUAACCUACCUAUAAGACUGGGAUAACUUCGGGAAACCGGAGCUAAUACCGGAUAAUAUAUUGAACCGCAUGGUUCAAUAGUGAAAGACGGUUUUGCUGUCACUUAUAGAUGGAUCCGCGCCGCAUUAGCUAGUUGGUAAGGUAACGGCUUACCAAGGCAACGAUGCGUAGCCGACCUGAGAGGGUGAUCGGCCACACUGGAACUGAGACACGGUCCAGACUCCUACGGGAGGCAGCAGUAGGGAAUCUUCCGCAAUGGGCGAAAGCCUGACGGAGCAACGCCGCGUGAGUGAUGAAGGUCUUCGGAUCGUAAAACUCUGUUAUUAGGGAAGAACAAAUGUGUAAGUAACUAUGCACGUCUUGAUGGUACCUAAUCAGAAAGCCACGGCUAACUACGU
This 496-nucleotide ribosomal RNA is filed under the name uncultured bacterium. RNAcentral's name for it is "partial 16S ribosomal RNA". It matches the Rfam family "Bacterial small subunit ribosomal RNA", at positions 28 to 506 of the family's 1533-position model. The record is from RNAcentral.